This 653-nucleotide ribosomal RNA is filed under the name uncultured fungus. RNAcentral's name for it is "eukaryotic LSU rRNA". The stretch from base 249 to 402 matches the Rfam family "5.8S ribosomal RNA". The record is from RNAcentral. Lineage: Eukaryota; Fungi.
CAAGGUUUCCGUAGGUGAACCUGCGGAAGGAUCAUUACAAAUGUCUGGGAUGUCCAAUCGGGCCCCCAAGCAAACACAUCCAUGUGUACACUCCCAUGUUGCUUCCCCAGAUCAGUGGCCACUGCUGCCAGCCCACCCCCUCAAUUGGGGUCCUGGGUUGAGGUGUCUGGGGAAGGGCCCAAUAACAAACCUUUGAACCAAUUAGUUGUCUGAGUAGGCCACCCGCCGCAAUCUUUAAAACAUGUUAAAACUUUCAACAACGGAUCUCUUGGCUCUCGCAUCGAUGAAGAACGCAGCGAAAUGCGAUAAGUAAUGUGAAUUGCAGAAUUCAGUGAAUCAUCGAAUCUUUGAACGCACAUUGCGCCCUUUGGUAUUCCUUAGGGCAUGCCUGUUCGAGCGUCACUAAAAACCCCCUCACAGAUAAUGUGGUAUUGGUAGAAGUGAACGGUACUUACAUUACCUUGUCUCACUCUGCUGAAAUGAAUAGGCCAGAGAAGUGGACCCAUGGUAAUUGACUCCAGGAGUGUUUUUCAAUGCUAAACUAGUCUUUACCCAAGUCAAAUUCUGAGCUACCGGACCUCCCAUUAAGUCCAAAACAGAGUUGGUUGACCUCGGAUCAGGUAGGGAUACCCGCUGAACUUAAGCAUAUCAAU